AGUGUUAGUGUGAAGUUACAGAGGAGCUGGACUGAGUGUCUCUACAGUAUCUACAGCUCUGAUGAGGGAAUGUUAGUGUGAAGUUACAGGAAUGAAUUGUGUCCAUUUGCCACCGUCAGUGUCUCAGAAAACCUCUUCAUCAGUAACUGUGUUAAUCAGGUUGUGUGUCAUUCAGCGGUUUGCUCUGCAGUGGCUCAGCCUGUCCUAUAGGGGGCAGUGAUGACAGUGACAUACUCCCGGUGUGUGGCCGAUGCUCGACUGGGCACUUUCUCUCACCUCCUCCUGCGCUGGAGAGGCAGCAUCUACAAACUGCUGUACAGAGAGCUUCUCAUCUUCACCAUACUGUACUUCUCUCUCAGCGCCCUCUACAGGUUUAUCUUACCGGACAGACAGAGGCGCCUGUUUGAGAAAUUGUCCCUGUAUUGCAACCGCUAUGCUGAGCUCAUCCCUGUCUCCUUCGUGCUAGGUGAGACUGCACUGAACACUGCACACUGGACACUGGCACCACCCACGAAACACUAUGCACACACUGAACACUGUACACACUCAGUACUAUAUACUCUUGUUUUUACCUGAAUAUUCUGAAUACAAAAGUUUGUACAAUGUAUAAUAUAAAGACUCAGACCAGCUCCUCUGAA
Non-coding RNA from Lepisosteus oculatus (spotted gar), 638 nucleotides. Lineage: Eukaryota; Metazoa; Chordata; Actinopteri; Semionotiformes; Lepisosteidae. The record is from RefSeq and is a predicted model, not a curated record.